Molecule: ribosomal RNA, 448 nt
Filed under: uncultured bacterium
Lineage: Bacteria
Description: bacterial SSU rRNA
Rfam family: Bacterial small subunit ribosomal RNA
Source: RNAcentral
UGAACGUUGGCGGCGUGGAUUAGGCAUGCAGUCGUACGCACAGCUUCGGCUGUGAGUGGCGCAAGGGUGAGUAAUGCGAAGGUAACCAACCCUGGUGUUGGGCAUAACCGCGGGAAACUGCGGGUAAUUCCCAGCGACGUCGCGAGAUGGCAUCAUCUUGCGACCAAAGGUGUGAUUCCGCUCUAGGACGGGCCUUCGUGGUAUUAGGUAGUUGGUGAGGUAACGGCUCACCAAGCCGACGAUGCCUACCGGGUGUGAGAGCAUGACCCGGCACACUGGAACUGAGACACUGUCCAGACACCUACGGGUGGCUGCAGUCGAGAAUCUUCGGCAAUGGGCGAAAGCCUGACCGAGCGACGCCGCGUGAGGGAAGAAGGCCUCGGUGUAACGUACUUCGUAGUAGGAGGAAGGGGACCGGUCGCGAGAGCGGUCGUUUCGUACCGUAUUC